CAAGGAAUAUUGUGCAAUGGGCGAAAGCCUGACACAGCGACGCCGCGUGGGGGAAGACGGCCUUCGGGUUGUAAACCCCUUUUCCCGGGGAAGAAUAAAAUGACGGUACCCGGGGAAUAAGUCUCGGCUAACUACGUGCCAGCAGCCGCGGUAAUACGUAGGAGGCGAGCGUUAUCCGGAUUUACUGGGCGUAAAGAGGGCGUAGGCGGCUUGUCAAGUCGGAUGUAAAAUCUCCCGGCUUAACCGGGAGGGAUCGUUCGAUACUGGUAGGCUGGAGUGCAGCAGAGGAAAGUGGAAUUCCCGGUGUAGUGGUGAAAUGCGUAGAUAUCGGGAGGAACACCAGUGGCGAAGGCGGCUUUCUGGGCUGUUACUGACGCUGAGGCCCGAAGGCGUGGGGAGCGAACAGG
RNAcentral lists this ribosomal RNA (407 nucleotides) under uncultured bacterium. RNAcentral describes it as "bacterial SSU rRNA". It matches the Rfam family "Bacterial small subunit ribosomal RNA", at positions 355 to 776 of the family's 1533-position model. The record is from RNAcentral.